AUAACAAUGAUUCCCCCAGUAACGGCGAGUGAACAGGGAAAAGCUCAAAGUUGGAAGCUCCUGGCCCUAGGCUAGGCGCAUUGUAAACUAAAGCUGUAAAGUAGUUCGGUUGGCCUGGUAAAAAAGUUCCCUGGAAUGGGGCGACAUGGAGGGUGAAAUCCCCGUCUUUGGCCAGAGUUCAGCCGUGCGUUUGCUUUGCUGCGAAGAGUCAGGUUGUUUGGGAAUGCAGCCUAAAAUGGGAGGUAGACUUCUCCUAAAGCUAAAUAUUGACGAAAGACCGAUAGCGAACAAGUACCGUGAGGGAAAGAUGAAAAGCACUUUGAAAAGAGGGUCAAAAAGUACGUGAAAUUGCUGAAAGGGAACCGUAUGAAAUCAGCCUGAUGUGUGGGUAAUCAGCCUGGGCUUUGGCCUGGGUGCACUUGCCCAUGUAUUAGCCUGCGACAGUUUGACCUGGGGGAAAAAAGAUGGGGGAAUGUGGCCUCGGCUUCGGUCGUGGUGUUAUAGCCCCUGUCAAAAUACCUUGGGUUGGACUGAGGACUGCAGCGAGCCGUAAGGCAUGGGUCUCGGGCGCUCUGUCUCGGCGAAAAGUGAAUCUCUGCUUCGGGUGGUGCGCUUUUCUUCAGGGCAGACACGUCUGUUUCUUCUUUCUCUCGCUUAGGUCGUAGGCAUAAUGAUUUUAUAUG
This 683-nucleotide ribosomal RNA is filed under the name Absidia glauca. Its description in RNAcentral is "partial large subunit ribosomal RNA". It matches the Rfam family "Eukaryotic large subunit ribosomal RNA", at positions 65 to 646 of the family's 3401-position model. The record is from RNAcentral. Lineage: Eukaryota; Fungi; Mucoromycota; Mucoromycetes; Mucorales; Cunninghamellaceae.